Molecule: ribosomal RNA, 496 nt
Filed under: uncultured bacterium
Lineage: Bacteria
Description: bacterial SSU rRNA
Rfam family: Bacterial small subunit ribosomal RNA
Source: RNAcentral
AUGAACGCUAGCGACAGGCUUAACACAUGCAAGUCGAGGGGCAGCAUAAAGUAGCAAUACUUGGUGGCGACCGGCGCACGGGUGAGUAACACGUAUGCAACCUGCCUGUAAGCGGGGAAUAACCCGUUGAAAGACGGACUAAUACCGCAUAAUACUAAAUUACUGCAUGGUAAUUUAUUUAAACAUUUAUGGCUUACAGAUGGGCAUGCGCAUGAUUAGCUAGUUGGAGAGGUAACGGCUCCCCAAGGCAACGAUCAUUAGGGGUUCUGAGAGGAAGGUCCCCCACACUGGUACUGAGACACGGACCAGACUCCUACGGGAGGCAGCAGUGAGGAAUAUUGGUCAAUGGACGAGAGUCUGAACCAGCCAAGUCGCGUGCAGGAAGAAUGUCCCUAUGGAUUGUAAACUGCUUUUGCAGGGGAAUAAAGUGCAUCACGUGUGAUGUUUUGUAUGUACUCUGCGAAUAAGGAUCGGCUAACUCCGUGCCAGCCGCUGC